GCGGGUGUAGCUCAAAGGUGGAGCAGCAGCCUUCCAAGCUGACGGCGCGGGUUCAAAUCCCGCCAUCCGCUCCA
Molecule: transfer RNA, 74 nt
Filed under: Eikenella corrodens
Lineage: Bacteria; Pseudomonadati; Pseudomonadota; Betaproteobacteria; Neisseriales; Neisseriaceae
Also listed under: 1 other name
Description: tRNA-Gly
Rfam family: tRNA
About the family: Transfer RNA (tRNA) molecules are approximately 80 nucleotides in length.
Source: RNAcentral